RNAcentral lists this long non-coding RNA (470 nucleotides) under Pogona vitticeps (central bearded dragon). RNAcentral describes it as "lncRNA (ENSPVIG00000015247.1)". Lineage: Eukaryota; Metazoa; Chordata; Lepidosauria; Squamata; Agamidae. The record is from RNAcentral.
GCCCAAGGCUAUAUAGGCAGCCCAGUGAUAUUUGGGAUGUCAUAAAUUGUCCAACAUCACAUCUCUCCAAGCCCCAUAAAUCUUUGGGUGGAUUUUCCAGGGUGCUGUAGAUUGUAAGGUUGGCCCUGGCCCCAUCUACACUAGCUGGCAGUGGGUCUCAGAGGACUUAUUCAUUCCACACUUUGGACAUAGAAGCAGCCUCUCUAAGUUGUGGAGAAGCAUUGUGAAUACACUCGGGCAUCUGCUGGGCAAUGGCGUGCAGCCGGCAAAUCUUUCACUUCCAGAAGCAUUGUACUAGAACAACACUGAACCACUUCAUGGACGCCGAUCCCCUGGACAAUGACUGAAGUUGAGGAAAGGUUUUAAGUGGUUUUUUUUUUAAUUUUGCCUGCAUUUCAUGUGUGUCAAUAAUUUUGAAUUAUGGAAUGCUCUAAUAUGAAUAAAGACACUGUCAAUCCAUUGUGUAUUGU